This is a non-coding RNA of Poecilia reticulata (guppy), 1391 nucleotides long. The record is from RefSeq and is a predicted model, not a curated record. NCBI's taxonomy places the organism in Eukaryota, Metazoa, Chordata, Actinopteri, Cyprinodontiformes, Poeciliidae.
UUUUCUGUGUUAGUUAUAACAUGAUGAACUCAAAGUUUGGCUGCACGGUGGAGCAGUUCUGAGUUUUGCUUUGCAGCUUGAAGGCCUUGGCUUCAAAUCCCAGCCUGGGGCCUUUCUGCAUGUUCUCCCUGUGCAUCCACAGGUUCUCUCUGCAUGGGUACUCCAGCUUCUUCCAGUCCAAAACAUGACUGAGGGGGGUCAUUGUUUGCCAUAUUUACAGCAGAGGAUAUACCACGGAUUUCAUAACUGAAAUGAGGGGAUUAAAACAUUGGCAGCAGAAGUUUCCUGCUCACAGCAAAUCAGCAGCAAUCCAGAUUUAUCAGUUAAUCUAAUUUAUUUUGAUUUUUUCUGAAAUAACAAAAGCUUUUCUCUCUUGAUUUCAAAUGUCUCAUAAAAAUGCUUAAAAGAAAACUGACGAGAAUAAAUAAGUGCAGCCUCUGUAUAAAUUUGACUCAUUUGGGUCCACUGUUCUUGCAGACGUUAGUUUCUCCACAGCUUCCACCACCGUUUCCACCAGGUUGAGAUUUGGGCUUUGACUGGUCCGUUCUGCUGCUGUGGUUUGGAUUCUGGUGAUGCUGUUAGGGCCAGCAGCUGCUGGACAGAUGGUUCCGUAUUUGUUGGGUUUUCUAGUUGUGGGACUCAUAACUAGGAGUUGAUUUCAUGGACUGCAAUUAAACUUGUUAAUGGAAACCCACAGUUUACAAAAUAAGUGUAACAGGUGGAACCACCAGGGGUCGCUGCCUCCACAUCUGAGCGCCCAUAAAAGGGAAGCUGUCRGACUGGUGGCAGAUUGUCAAUCUCCUCUGUGUUGGACCAGGUGUGUUGGCCCACGCCUUCCACUGUUUGUCAUCAGGGCCACACUACAUGUCGUAAUUUGACAAGUGCUUUACCUGGGCGUGUGGUUGAUCGACGCUGCAGACAUUUUAGGAAGCAACAAUCCCUCCCAUUGGUCAUUGCUGAUGUAUUUCCUGAAGCUGCAAACUGAAGUCAGUAACUGGAUGUUUGAUCACAUUCAAACUUCAGGCACAAUUUCCAUUAAAUGAAAGCAGAGACGUGCUGUGAAGACCCAAGAUGGCUGCCAACAACGACAUCUGGAUGACGGCACUUCCUGGGAACGUCGACUCGGAGACCACCGGAAUACCUCGCAUUCCUGCAGGAGUAGCUGCUGUCAGAGCUUUAAGAGCCGAGAGAUCAAGAGGAAGUUCCUUAAGCCAUUUUAAAUGCAUUUCUGGUGCUGACAGGGCGAAUCCAGGCUCUGGCCGCACUUCCAGCAGCAGUAGUGUUGCGGAUGCCACGUCCGUCCGUCUUCCGCCGUGACGAACGACUUGCAGAAGAUGAGCUGAGGACGGAGAAGCAGCGUUGAUUCAAAGGCAGCAGCUGAAAGUGAAGAA